Molecule: long non-coding RNA, 932 nt
Organism: Macadamia integrifolia
Lineage: Eukaryota; Viridiplantae; Streptophyta; Magnoliopsida; Proteales; Proteaceae
Exons: 2
Source: RefSeq, a predicted model, not a curated record
CUUUUCAUCACAACUAGUGCAAUAGAGGAGCCCCGGAGCGCCUGCACCGCUUUCUCUGUUGCUGUCGUUCGAAAAAAAAUCAGAUUCCGUAACUUCUUUGCCUCCUCUUUAAGCCUGCGCAACAAAGGAGCCCUGAAGCCCCUCCACCCCUGUCUCUAGUCAUAUACAACGUGGUUUGCCUCUGUUGCUGCUGUUCGAAGAAAACAUCACGGAUUCUUGUUGUUGCCGUUCGCCUCCUCUUUAAUUCCGGUCCUUGGAAAUGCAAAAGGAGCUGUGACUGUGGUGGUUUCUAUUCUAAUCUUUAGAAAUCCUAUUUCAGUGAUUGGAAUGCUUGGUUACUCGCUAACAGUUAUGGGAAUUAUCUUUUACAGCGAAGUGAAGAAACUGUCUGUGCUGAAACGGCAUACAAAUACAGGAAUGUGUUUUCUUGAAUUUUAUCUUUUUUUAUUAUGAGGGUCGCCAACAUGAUUCUUGGAGCUGAGAUUGAAAACACAUUAGUUCGAGGCUCGUUCAGAGAGAUGGAAUGUUUCUAAGGGUGGUUGCCCCUCUAUGAGAUUUAAGAAUUUUCUCAAAUUAGACCGAUGAUUCUCUGAAACUCAACAACCCUUCUCUCUUCUACACAAAAAAAAAACUGAGAUUGGUGCUAUUCAGCCGAUUUCAUAUAUUGCACCCUACAAAUUCCUUUUGUCGGAGACCGGCGAUAGGGUUUCCACCUGUAUCAAGCAUCAACAACAACGACUAGCUUAGGAAAGGCUAGGAAAAUCUCAAUAAGAGGACUCAUUGGUCUGUCUUUUCUUCCCAUGAUAUAGGAAUCUGUAGUAUUCUUUUCAGGGACAGAAUUGAGUCUCUAUGCCCAAUUUAUUUUUAUUUUUUUAGUCAUUUUGACAUUUCUUGAUUAAUUAAUGGAAGAUAUUCUGAUAUUUUUACCAUUA